RNAcentral lists this ribosomal RNA (728 nucleotides) under uncultured bacterium. RNAcentral describes it as "bacterial SSU rRNA". It matches the Rfam family "Bacterial small subunit ribosomal RNA", at positions 772 to 1500 of the family's 1533-position model. The record is from RNAcentral.
ACCGGAUUAGAUACCCUGGUAGUCCACGCCGUAAACGAUGUCGACUUGGAGGCUGUUCCCUUGAGGAGUGGCUUCCGGAGCUAACGCGUUAAGUCGACCGCCUGGGGAGUACGGCCGCAAGGUUAAAACUCAAAUGAAUUGACGGGGGCCCGCACAAGCGGUGGAGCAUGUGGUUUAAUUCGAUGCAACGCGAAGAACCUUACCUGGCCUUGACAUCCAGAGAACUUUCCAGAGAUGGAUUGGUGCCUUCGGGAACUCUGAGACAGGUGCUGCAUGGCUGUCGUCAGCUCGUGUUGUGAAAUGUUGGGUUAAGUCCCGCAACGAGCGCAACCCUUAUCCUUUGUUGCCAGCGAUUCGGUCGGGAACUCAAAGGAGACUGCCGGUGAUAAACCGGAGGAAGGUGGGGAUGACGUCAAGUCAUCAUGGCCCUUACGGCCAGGGCUACACACGUGCUACAAUGGCGCAUACAAAGAGAAGCGACCUCGCGAGAGCAAGCGGACCUCAUAAAGUGCGUCGUAGUCCGGAUCGGAGUCUGCAACUCGACUCCGUGAAGUCGGAAUCGCUAGUAAUCGUGGAUCAGAACGCCACGGUGAAUACGUUCCCGGGCCUUGUACACACCGCCCGUCACACCAUGGGAGUGGGUUGCAAAAGAAGUAGGUAGCUUAACCUUCGGGAGGGCGCUUACCACUUUGUGAUUCAUGACUGGGGUGAAGUCGUAACAAGGUAUC